Molecule: ribosomal RNA, 506 nt
Filed under: Calynda coronata
Lineage: Eukaryota; Metazoa; Arthropoda; Insecta; Phasmatodea; Diapheromeridae
Description: partial 28S ribosomal RNA
Source: RNAcentral
CCUGAAUUCGAAAGGGGUUCGGAUUCAUCACAUAUCAUCGGUUUGCCAGGCCGUCACAACCAGAUGGCGUCGGUCGCCCGCACGGCGAUUUAUUUCGCCUGCGGUGUCGUUCCCCGACGAUCACAGGGUGACUGACGUGUCCUGGGACCGUGAGGUGCACUUCCCCCCUAGUAGAAACGUCGCGACCCGUUGGGUGCCGGUCAAAGGCCCGGGAAGGCAGCCCGUGGUGCCCCGGCAGCAACUGUCGGGCCCACGGACUCCUGGUGUCCCGGCCGGCUGCUCGACGGUACGACCAGAGGAGCUGAUCCGCUGCCUGCAAAGCAGCUUGAGUGUGGAGCGUCCGGCUCGGCGCCGACGCGUGCGGGGUAAAAUGUGGUGUACAGGGGGUCCCCGUGCUAUGCACGGUCCCCCACCCGUCUCGCCGUCGGUCGUCCGGUGUCCUCGGACUGGAUCGUUGCUCCCGUCGGCGACGCCCAUCUUCGGAUGGUCUCCCGACCCGUCUUGAA